UGGGGAAUUUUGGACAAUGGGCGAAAGCCUGAUCCAGCAAUGCCGCGUGUGUGAAGAAGGCCUUCGGGUUGUAAAGCACUUUUGUCCGGAAAGAAAUCCUUGGCUCUAAUACAGUCGGGGGAUGACGGUACCGGAAGAAUAAGCACCGGCUAACUACGUGCCAGCAGCCGCGGUAAUACGUAGGGUGCAAGCGUUAAUCGGAAUUACUGGGCGUAAAGCGUGCGCAGGCGGUUUGCUAAGACCGAUGUGAAAUCCCCGGGCUCAACCUGGGAACUGCAUUGGUGACUGGCAGGCUAGAGUAUGGCAGAGGGGGGUAGAAUUCCACGUGUAGCAGUGAAAUGCGUAGAGAUGUGGAGGAAUACCGAUGGCGAAGGCAGCCCCCUGGGCCAAAUACUGACGCUCAUGCACGAAAGCGUGGGGAGCAAAACAGGAUUAGAUACCCUGGUAGUCCACGCCCUAAAACGACGUCAACUAGUUGUUGGGGAUUCAUUUCCUUAGUAACGUAGCUAACGCGUGAAGUUGACCGCCUGGGGAGUACGGUCGCAAGAUUAAAACUCAAAUGAAUUGACGGGGUCAUAGCUGUUUCCU
This 588-nucleotide ribosomal RNA is filed under the name uncultured bacterium. RNAcentral describes it as "partial 16S ribosomal RNA". It matches the Rfam family "Bacterial small subunit ribosomal RNA", at positions 355 to 1375 of the family's 1533-position model. The record is from RNAcentral.